GAGUAUGCUAGGCGUGGCCACCUGGUUUCCCUCUCCCAUUCAACCUGAGCACCUGCAGCUGAUCUACUAAUCAACUUUACAAGCCACAGCAGUAUAAAGCCCCAGUUCAUCUCUCCAGACUCUGCCAAAUUGUUCAGUCACCAAUGUGGUUCACCACGCCAGCUUCCAGUACACCUGCUAUGUCAGCCUCGUCCUCGCCUGCUGUAUGCCUGUUUGGAUAGUGGAUUUCCUGUCUGCUCUGCCCUGCCUUGAGCCCCUCUGCCUGCCUCAGUCCUUCGCCCUGCACCGCUGCCUGCUUCGCUCUCCCAUAUCCAAACCCAAAGAACACUCAGCUAAGCAAUCAGAUCUAUCUAAUGUAGCUCAAGCUACAUUAAACUGCCCUUUAACCAUU
Molecule: long non-coding RNA, 391 nt
Organism: Thunnus maccoyii (southern bluefin tuna)
Lineage: Eukaryota; Metazoa; Chordata; Actinopteri; Scombriformes; Scombridae
Exons: 2
Source: RefSeq, a predicted model, not a curated record